This 755-nucleotide long non-coding RNA is filed under the name Gallus gallus (chicken). Lineage: Eukaryota; Metazoa; Chordata; Aves; Galliformes; Phasianidae. The record is from RNAcentral.
GCUUGUGUUUCAAAGCCCAAACAUCAAGUAAACAGCACGAAUCACAGAAGGUGAAGACUGAGUUCUAGUUUCAUUGAAGGGAUGUUCUUCCCCAUAGACUUUCCUUUUUCUUUUGAGCUCACCAGUAUAAAGCCCUUGGAUUUCUCUGUAUACUAGUAUACAAUUUUCCAGUGAGUUGGCUGCUCACAGUUUUUCUCUUUUUCACCACAGAAUCGAUUGUAAGUUGUUUUUGGAUCAAAUCCCAAGAUCUCCCUUUCCUCAUGAAUCCGAAAGGAAAAUGUUGAAACUGAGGUGCCUAUAAAAUACCUAGCAUGUGCACAGAUCCACUGGUCAAUCACAGCCAUUCCCCCAUCUUUGUACAGUUCUAGCUCCUCCCAAGUAGGUUCAAACCUCACCAUCUCAGGCACCAGUUUCUUGAGCAAUUCAAUCUCAUCCUCAACAGCAUCAGUGGCUAUGAAAACUUUUUCAAGUUUAUGCGUUUUCAAGAGGCUGUGGAUUUUCUUUGCUGCUCCGUGCAGGGAAGGCACAUCUUCUCUGUGACCCCAGAUGAAAUCUUUCCUUCUGAGAUGAACCCCAAGGUAUGGACCACCUAGAGCUGUGCCUGUCUUAACCUUCAUCUGUGUCCAGUCCUCAUUGUAAUGAGUCCUGUCUGCCUCGUCUGUGGACUGAAGGUACUUGUUUCUAAACUCAUCUCCUGCUACACGGAGAUGUUUAGCAAAUACCAUACUUCGACGGGUAUUCCAAUAAUCUUUCCC